RNAcentral lists this ribosomal RNA (423 nucleotides) under uncultured bacterium. RNAcentral describes it as "bacterial SSU rRNA". It matches the Rfam family "Bacterial small subunit ribosomal RNA", at positions 207 to 622 of the family's 1533-position model. The record is from RNAcentral.
AAGACCUUGCGCUUUUGGAGCGGCCGAUGUCUGAUUAGCUAGUUGGUAGGGUAAUGGCCUACCAAAGCUUCGAUCAGUAGCUGGUCUGAGAGGACGACCAGCCACACUGGGACUGAGACACGGCCCAGACUCCUACGGGAGGCAGCAGUGGGGAAUUUUGGACAAUGGGCGCAAGCCUGAUCCAGCCAUGCCGCGUGAGUGAAGAAGGCCUUCGGGUUGUAAAGCUCUUUCAGCCGGGAAGAAAAGGCUACGACGAAUAAUCGUAGCUCAUGACGGUACCGGAAGAAGAAGCACCGGCUAACUACGUGCCAGCAGCCGCGGUAAUACGUAGGGUGCGAGCGUUAAUCGGAAUUACUGGGCGUAAAGAGUGCGCAGGCGGUUUUGUAAGUCAGAUGUGAAAUCCCCGGGCUUAACCUGGGAACU